This 395-nucleotide ribosomal RNA is filed under the name uncultured bacterium. Its description in RNAcentral is "bacterial SSU rRNA". It matches the Rfam family "Bacterial small subunit ribosomal RNA", at positions 40 to 481 of the family's 1533-position model. The record is from RNAcentral.
UNUCAGGCCUAACACAUGCAAGUCGAGCGCACCUUUUCGGAGGUGAGCGGCGCACGGGGAGUAACGCGUGGGAACCUACCCUGGGGUAGGGGAUAACCGCUGGAAACGGCGGCUAAUACCCUAUACGUCCUUCGGGAGAAAGAUUUAUCGCCCUGGGAUGGGCCCGCGUCGGAUUAGCUAGUUGGUGGGGUAAAGGCUCACCAAGGCGACGAUCCGUAGCUGGUCUGAGAGGAUGAUCAGCCACACUGGGACUGAGACACGGCCCAGACUCCUACGGGAGGCAGCAGUGGGGAAUAUUGGACAAUGGGCGCAAGCCUGAUCCAGCCAUGCCGCGUGAGUGAAGAAGGCCUUAGGGUUGUAAAGCUCUUCACCCGCGAAGAUGAUGACNGUAGCNG